This 341-nucleotide long non-coding RNA is filed under the name Dermacentor andersoni. Its description in RNAcentral is "uncharacterized LOC126540100". Lineage: Eukaryota; Metazoa; Arthropoda; Arachnida; Ixodida; Ixodidae. The record is from RNAcentral.
UCGCAAUAAAACUCUUCCAAUUUGGUGCAGCGAGUGUUGCCGCCUGAAAGCCGAGUUUGGUUUCAAGCCAACCUGGACAACUGCUGUAUGAGGCGCUGUUUCGCAGGAGGAUCAGUGGGAAGGCGUCAGGUCAUGCAGAUGAUAGCAUCAAUUUCACAAUGCCCAGCCUUGGUGCCCUCCAUUAAGAGCAAGCCACUUGCGUUCGCCUUCAGGCAGAUGGUUGAUGUCUUCUAGGAAGCAGUUGGGAAGACUACAUUGAUGCAAGAUUCCAGCAAUGCCAUGCGCUGCAUUUAUUGGUCAAGAUGCUCAGAGAAUGGAGUCCCUGCACCUCGUGGUGAAAC